This is a non-coding RNA of Oryza punctata, 204 nucleotides long. NCBI's taxonomy places the organism in Eukaryota, Viridiplantae, Streptophyta, Magnoliopsida, Poales, Poaceae. The record is from Rfam.
AAAAAGUAUAGUUUUGUAUUAUUCAUGUUUAACGUUGGACCGUUCGUCUUAUUUGAUUUUUUUUAUGAUUAGUAUUUUUGUUAUUAUUAGAUGAUAAAACAUGAAUAAUACUUUAUGUGUAACUAUUUUUUUAUUUUUUCAUAAAUUUUUCAAAUAAGACGGAUGAUCAAACGUUGGACACGGAUACCUACGGCUGCACUUAAA